This 639-nucleotide ribosomal RNA is filed under the name uncultured archaeon. RNAcentral's name for it is "bacterial SSU rRNA". It matches the Rfam family "Archaeal small subunit ribosomal RNA", at positions 318 to 957 of the family's 1478-position model. The record is from RNAcentral.
AGGCCCUACGGGGCGCAGCAGGCGCGAAAACUUUACAAUGCGGGAAACCGUGAUAAGGGGACACCGAGUGCCAGCAUCAUAUGCUGGCUGUCCAGAUGUGUAAAAUACAUCUGUUAGCAAGGGCCGGGCAAGACCAGUGCCAGCCGCCGCGGUAACACCGACGGCCCGAGUGGUGAUCGUGAUUAUUGGGUCUAAAGGGUCCGUAGCCGGUUUGGUCAGUCCUCCGGGAAAUCUGAUGGCUCAACCAUUAGGCUUUCGGGGGAUACUGCCAGGCUUGGAACCGGGAGAGGUAAGAGGUACUACAGGGGUAGGAGUGAAAUCUUGUAAUCCCUGUGAGACCACCUGUGGCGAAGGCGUCUUACCAGAACGGGUUCGACGGUGAGGGACGAAAGCUGGGGGCACGAACCGGAUUAGAUACCCGGGUAGUCCCAGCCGUAAACGAUGCUCGCUAGGUGUCAGGCAUGGCGCGACCGUGUCUGGUGCCGCAGGGAAGCCGUGAAGCGAGCCACCUGGGAAGUACGGCCGCAAGGCUGAAACUUAAAGGAAUUGGCGGGGGAGCACAACAACGGGUGGAGCCUGCGGUUUAAUUGGACUCAACGCCGGACAACUCACCGGGGACGACAGCAAUAUGUAGGCCAG